UCCUCCGUGGCGCAAUUGGCUAGCGCGUCGUAAGUAAAAUCCAAUAGGGACUAUUAACGAUCUAUUAUCUAAUCAUAUAUACAGUGACUGUUAAUCAGGAGGUUGAAAGUUCGAGCCUUUCCGGGGGAG
RNAcentral lists this transfer RNA (129 nucleotides) under Nemania serpens. RNAcentral describes it as "tRNA-Phe". Lineage: Eukaryota; Fungi; Ascomycota; Sordariomycetes; Xylariales; Xylariaceae. The record is from RNAcentral.